This 119-nucleotide ribosomal RNA is filed under the name Helianthus annuus (common sunflower). The record is from RNAcentral. Lineage: Eukaryota; Viridiplantae; Streptophyta; Magnoliopsida; Asterales; Asteraceae.
GGUUGCGAUCAUACCAGCACUAAUGCGCCGGAUCCCAUCAGAAAUCCGCAGUUAAGCGUGCUUGGGCGAGAGUAGUACUAGGAUGGGUGACCCCCUGGGAAGUCCUCGUGUUGCAACCC